UACGUAGGUGGCAAGCGUUGUCCGGAUUUACUGGGCGUAAAGAGCGCGCAGGCGGUCAGAUAAGCCGAAUGUGAAAGCCCCCGGCUCAACUGGGGAGGGUCAUUCGAUACUGUUCGACUCGAAGGCAGGAGAGGGAAGUGGAAUUCCCGGUGUAGUGGUGAAAUGCGUAGAUAUCGGGAGGAACACCAGUGGCGAAGGCGGUUGCCUGGAGCUUUGCUGACGCUGAUGCGCGAAAGCGUGGGGAGCGAUCCGG
RNAcentral lists this ribosomal RNA (253 nucleotides) under uncultured bacterium. RNAcentral's name for it is "partial 16S ribosomal RNA". It matches the Rfam family "Bacterial small subunit ribosomal RNA", at positions 524 to 776 of the family's 1533-position model. The record is from RNAcentral.